Molecule: ribosomal RNA, 468 nt
Filed under: uncultured bacterium
Lineage: Bacteria
Description: partial 16S ribosomal RNA
Rfam family: Bacterial small subunit ribosomal RNA
Source: RNAcentral
GACGAACGCUGGCGGCGUGCUUAACACAUGCAAGUCGAACGGAAAGUCCCUGCUUUUGUGGGGUGCUCGAGUUGCGAACGGGUGAGUAACACUUGAGUAACCUGCCCUUGACUUUGGGAUAACUUCAUGAAACUGGGGCUAAUACCGGAUAGGAUCUCCUGCUUCAUGGUGGGGGUUGGAAAGUUUCGGCGGUUGGGGAUGGACUCGCGGCUUAUCAGCUUGUUGGUGGGGUAGUGGCUUACCAAGGCUUUGACGGGUAGCAGGCCUGAGAGGGUAGCCGGCCAAAUUGGGAUUGAAAUGCGACCCAGACUCGUAAGGGAGGCAGCAGUGGGGAAUAUUGCACAAUGGGCGGAAGCCUGAUGCAGCAAAGCAGCGUGCGGGAUGACGGGAUGCGGGUUGGAAACCGAUUUCGCCUGUGACGAAGCGUGAGUGACGGUAAUGGGUAAAGAAGCACCGGCUAACUACGUG